UUAAGCGACUAAGCGUACACGGUGGAUGCCCUGGCAGUCAGAGGCGAUGAAGGACGUGCUAAUCUGCGAAAAGCGUCGGUAAGGUGAUAUGAACCGUUACAGCCGGCGAUGUCCGAAUGGGGAAACCCAGUGUGAUUCGUCACACUAUCGUUAACUGAAUACAUAGGUUAACGAGGCGAACCGGGGGAACUGAAACAUCUAAGUACCCCGAGGAAAAGAAAUCAACCGAGAUUCCCCCAGUAGCGGCGAGCGAACGGGGAGCAGCCCAGAGUCUGAAUCAGCUUGUGUGUUAGUGGAACGGUCUGGAAAGUCCGACGGUACAGGGUGAUAGUCCCGUACACCAAAAUGCACAGGCUGUGAACUCGAAGAGUAGGGCGGGACACGUGGUAUCCUGUCUGAAUAUGGGGGGACCAUCCUCCAAGGCUAAAUACUCCUGACUGACCGAUAGUGAACCAGUACCGUGAGGGAAAGGCGAAAAGAACCCCGGCGAGGGGAGUGAAAAAGAACCUGAAACCGUGUACGUACAAGCAGUGGGAGCACCUUCGGGUGUGACUGCGUACCUUUUGUAUAAUGGGUCAGCGACUUAUAUUCUGUAGCAAGGUUAACCGUAUAGGGGAGCCGCAGGGAAACCGAGUCUUAACUGGGCGUUAAGUUGCAGGGUAUAGACCCGAAACCCGGUGAUCUAGCCAUGGGCAGGUUGAAGGUUGGGUAACACUAACUGGAGGACCGAACCGACUAAUGUUGAAAAAUUAGCGGAUGACUUGUGGCUGGGGGUGAAAGGCCAAUCAAACCGGGAGAUAGCUGGUUCUCCCCGAAAGCUAUUUAGGUAGCGCCUCGUGAACUCAUCUUCGGGGGUAGAGCACUGUUUCGGCUAGGGGGUCAUCCCGACUUACCAACCCGAUGCAAACUACGAAUACCGAAGAAUGUUAUCACGGGAGACACACGGCGGGUGCUAACGUCCGUCGUGAAGAGGGAAACAACCCAGACCGCCAGCUAAGGUCCCAAAGUCAUGGUUAAGUGGGAAACGAUGUGGGAAGGCACAGACAGCCAGGAUGUUGGCUUAGAAGCAGCCAUCAUUUAAAGAAAGCGUAAUAGCUCACUGGUCGAGUCGGCCUGCGCGGAAGAUGUAACGGGGCUAAACCAUGCACCGAAGCUGCGGCAGCGACACUAUGUGUUGUUGGGUAGGGGAGCGUUCUGUAAGCCUGCGAAGGUGUGCUGUGAGGCAUGCUGGAGGUAUCAGAAGUGCGAAUGCUGACAUAAGUAACGAUAAAGCGGGUGAAAAGCCCGCUCGCCGGAAGACCAAGGGUUCCUGUCCAACGUUAAUCGGGGCAGGGUGAGUCGACCCCUAAGGCGAGGCCGAAAGGCGUAGUCGAUGGGAAACAGGUUAAUAUUCCUGUACUUGGUGUUACUGCGAAGGGGGGACGGAGAAGGCUAUGUUAGCCGGGCGACGGUUGUCCCGGUUUAAGCAUGUAGGCUGAUUGUCCAGGCAAAUCCGGAUAAUCAAGGCUGAGGUGUGAUGACGAGGCACUACGGUGCUGAAGUAACAAAUGCCCUGCUUCCAGGAAAAGCCUCUAAGCAUCAGGUAACAUCAAAUCGUACCCCAAACCGACACAGGUGGUCAGGUAGAGAAUACCAAGGCGCUUGAGAGAACUCGGGUGAAGGAACUAGGCAAAAUGGUGCCGUAACUUCGGGAGAAGGCACGCUGGUGUGUAGGUGAAGUCCCUGCGGAUGGAGCUGAGACCAGUCGAAGAUACCAGCUGGCUGCAACUGUUUAUUAAAAACACAGCACUGUGCAAACACGAAAGUGGACGUAUACGGUGUGACGCCUGCCCGGUGCCGGAAGGUUAAUUGAUGGGGUUAUCCGUAAGGAGAAGCUCUUGAUCGAAGCCCCGGUAAACGGCGGCCGUAACUAUAACGGUCCUAAGGUAGCGAAAUUCCUUGUCGGGUAAGUUCCGACCUGCACGAAUGGCGUAAUGAUGGCCAGGCUGUCUCCACCCGAGACUCAGUGAAAUUGAACUCGCUGUGAAGAUGCAGUGUACCCGCGGCAAGACGGAAAGACCCCGUGAACCUUUACUAUAGCUUGACACUGAACAUUGAGCCUUGAUGUGUAGGAUAGGUGGGAGGCUUUGAAGCGUGGACGCCAGUCUGCGUGGAGCCAACCUUGAAAUACCACCCUUUAAUGUUUGAUGUUCUAACGUUGGCCCCUUACCGGGGUUGCGGACAGUGUCUGGUGGGUAGUUUGACUGGGGCGGUCUCCUCCCAAAGCGUAACGGAGGAGCACGAAGGUUAGCUAAUCCUGGUCGGACAUCAGGAGGUUAGUGCAAUGGCAUAAGCUAGCUUGACUGCGAGCGUGACGGCGCGAGCAGGUGCGAAAGCAGGUCAUAGUGAUCCGGUGGUUCUGAAUGGAAGGGCCAUCGCUCAACGGAUAAAAGGUACUCCGGGGAUAACAGGCUGAUACCGCCCAAGAGUUCAUAUCGACGGCGGUGUUUGGCACCUCGAUGUCGGCUCAUCACAUCCUGGGGCUGAAGUAGGUCCCAAGGGUAUGGCUGUUCGCCAUUUAAAGUGGUACGCGAGCUGGGUUUAGAACGUCGUGAGACAGUUCGGUCCCUAUCUGCCGUGGGCGCUGGAGAAUUGAGGGGGGCUGCUCCUAGUACGAGAGGACCGGAGUGGACGCAUCACUGGUGUUCGGGUUGUCAUGCCAAUGGCACUGCCCGGUAGCUAAAUGCGGAAGAGAUAAGUGCUGAAAGCAUCUAAGCACGAAACUUGCCCCGAGAUGAGUUCUCCCUGAGACUUUAAGUCUCCUGAAGGAACGUUGAAGACGACGACGUUGAUAGGCCGGGUGUGUAAGCGCAGCGAUGCGUUGAGCUAACCGGUACUAAUGAACCGUGAGGCUUAACCUU
Molecule: ribosomal RNA, 2900 nt
Filed under: Klebsiella pneumoniae
Lineage: Bacteria; Pseudomonadati; Pseudomonadota; Gammaproteobacteria; Enterobacterales; Enterobacteriaceae
Description: bacterial LSU rRNA
Rfam family: Bacterial large subunit ribosomal RNA
Source: RNAcentral